Molecule: long non-coding RNA, 344 nt
Organism: Herpailurus yagouaroundi (jaguarundi)
Lineage: Eukaryota; Metazoa; Chordata; Mammalia; Carnivora; Felidae
Exons: 3
Source: RefSeq, a predicted model, not a curated record
GCUGAUAGGAACACUCCUUUGCUCCCUGACACACAUCGUGAGAAGUGAAUUGACAUUACCCACUGAAUUGGACUGACUCUAACCUCGACUCUGUGCCCAGAUUACAGCUCCUUCCCUGCCGGCACCUUUUCACCCAGACUAGUGGUUCUCACACCUCAGGGCACACCAGAACCACUACUGUAACUCGCCGAACCUGCACGCCUUGCGCCUCCGCACCGUAGCUCAAUUGCUGGAUCAUCGAGGAGAAAUGGAUAAGUUCCUAGAAACAAGUAAACCACUGAAACUGAAACAGGAAGAAAUAGAAAACUUGAACAGACUGAUAACCAGCAAAGAAAUUGAACCAG